Molecule: long non-coding RNA, 1072 nt
Organism: Epinephelus moara (kelp grouper)
Lineage: Eukaryota; Metazoa; Chordata; Actinopteri; Perciformes; Serranidae
Exons: 3
Source: RefSeq, a predicted model, not a curated record
AAAAACGAUCUGAAAGUGAAAAAAAGAUUUGAAAGUGAAAAAAUAAGAUUUGAAACUGUAAAAAAAAAAAAGAUCUGAAAGUGAAAAAAAGAUUUGAAAGUGAAAAAAUAAGAUUUGAAACUGUAAAAAAUAAGAUCUGAAUCUGAAAAGAUAAAACAUGCAACUGAAAAAAAUAAGACCUCAAAUGUUAAAAUAUAUAUGGAAGUGAAAAGUGAAAAUAAAUUAUUCAUUCAAAAGAAUUACCAAAGUGAAUCAAAAUUAUAUAUAAUCUGAAAAAACGUUUCAUACACUUAUUUUUAUUCUGAAUACAUUGUAGUAUUUUUCAAAAUUCAAGAUCAACACAUGAAUUUUCAGUUUCAAAUUUUAUUUUUUCAAGUACAAAACUUUUGACCCUAAUGUAGCUCCAUAAACAUGCGGUGAGGACGCAGAGGAACUGAAACGCAGAAGGACAUCCCUACUGCAUCACAUUUGUGGAGAGCACAGAUGGGAAGAAGAUGGAGAAGGGUGCACAUGCUACCACCCCCCUCUCAGCCCAGAAGACCAAAGGAAGAAACAGUGGCUCCGCCCAGAUUCCACAUCAUUCAAGGCUCUGCAGUCUGUCAUCACUGACACAAGACUUCUGAAUGACCCUGAACACAUGACACACUUCAAGCACACAGAGUUGACGAUGAUGAGGAGGAGGAAGUGGGGGGGUCUCCUUGCCCUGCACCCCAGAGGGAGGCAGAGGGGGAGGAAGGAGUCGGUCUCCAGCAAACAGAGGCUCCAGGUCAGAGACACUCCCUGGUGAUGCAGCUGGCUGGAGAACCGAAAAGGAGCCUGACAUCUUGCCACAUCCCCCACCACAUUUUCUGCCCAAAAGGAGGCUAGGUGUGCAGCCACCUCUAUCACAGUAUGUGGACAAUCCCCUCUCCAUCUGAGCUGUUCAGGAUGUACUUUCACCGGGCUGCCAUCAAAACGCUGUGUGCCAACACCAAUAGAAAUGCAGCAAAAAUAUUGCUCAUCGUGGACAGGAACUGUCACAGGACCUAUCUCAGCUCCCCUGGUGCUACUGAAAAGUAAUAUUUGACUUUGA